Molecule: ribosomal RNA, 274 nt
Filed under: uncultured bacterium
Lineage: Bacteria
Description: partial 16S ribosomal RNA
Rfam family: Bacterial small subunit ribosomal RNA
Source: RNAcentral
AUACGGAGGGUGCAAGCGUUGUUCGGAAUUAUUGGGCGUAAAGCGCGUGUAGGUGGCUUGGUAAGUUGGAUGUGAAAGCCCGGGGCCCAACCUCGGAACUGCAUUCAAAACUCUCAAGCUAGAGUCCCGGAGAGGAUGGCGGAAUUCCCGGUGUAGAGGUGAAAUUCGUAGAUAUCGGGAGGAACACCAGUGGCGAAGGCGGCCAUCUGGACGGUGACUGACACUGAGACGCGAAAGCGUGGGGAGCAAACAGGAUUAGAUACCCCGGUAGUCC